UGGGGAAUUUUGGACAAUGGGCGCAAGCCUGAUCCAGCCAUGCCGCGUGCAGGAUGAAGGCCUUCGGGUUGUAAACUGCUUUUGUACGGAACGAAAAGGUGCCUUCUAAUAAAGGGCGCUCAUGACGGUACCGUAAGAAUAAGCACCGGCUAACUACGUGCCAGCAGCCGCGGUAAUACGUAGGGUGCGAGCGUUAAUCGGAAUUACUGGGCGUAAAGCGUGCGCAGGCGGUUUUGUAAGACAGAGGUGAAAUCCCCGGGCUCAACCUGGGAACUGCCUUUGUGACUGCAAGGCUGGAGUGCGGCAGAGGGGGAUGGAAUUCCAUGUGUAGCAGUGAAAUGCGUAGAGAUGUGGAAGAACACCGAUGGCGAAGGCAGCUCCCUGGGUUGACACUGACGCUCAUGCACGAAAGCGUGGGGAGCAAACA
RNAcentral lists this ribosomal RNA (427 nucleotides) under uncultured bacterium. Its description in RNAcentral is "bacterial SSU rRNA". It matches the Rfam family "Bacterial small subunit ribosomal RNA", at positions 355 to 774 of the family's 1533-position model. The record is from RNAcentral.